AAAGGUGUGUCGUGCAACCGCUGACAGUAGAUUAUUUGUAAGGUAUACGGUGUGUCGUGAAAACACCACCAAUAGAAGUAAAUAUAAUAUACUUACACUUCUACGGUGUGUCGCUGCCGAUACGAUACAAUCAAAUCAUAUGGUGUGUCGUGAAAACGCUACCAAUACGACAAUCAAUGUAUAUGGUGUGCCGUAUAAGCGCUACCAAUUAAUAUACUAAUAAAAAUGGGCCGUUGUGAAAACUAGAACUACUCGUAUAGUCCAUUAUGCUUCCUUUUCGGAAACAAUUUCUAAAGAGAAGCCGAUAAUUCGUCUCAUUGAUAGCCCUGUUCUAGACCAGAGAACCGGGUACGUUACAGCAAAUUAGCGCAAUACUGUUCACUGUAGUUCCGUUUUGCAAGCAAUCAAUUAAUACUAUUCUAUCGCUAUCCCAGAAAAUGGUAGACAAAAUCGUCGUUGCUGACUUUUCCUCUUUCCUGUAUAAUCUUAAACUUGAAUAUUACAUUUUUACUAUUUCUUGUAAUGUGUAAUGCACAAAUUUUUGUUCUGAGGGCUGCGACGGUUUGGUAGAACUCAGUCACAACACUCGACAAGUUUGUGUUGGAUCAAGUGGCACACAAGCAAUGGAAAUGUUGGAGACAAUAAAUCACGAGACUUAAUAUAUGUUACAUUCGAGUUUGAGCAGAUAACAUGAAAUUUAGUAUAUUAUACGCUCACCCGCUUUGGGUGAGCCUGAUUUGAUGUUGUCGAAGUGAAAAAUAACAUUCAAGUAGUCUCGAGAGGAAAUUCGCGUAUUCAAUUAAGUAUGCACAAGUAAAAAUGCACGAAUGUGGGCGUCGGGCGUUCGGGCGUGCAUGCACAACAACAAAUGAUAAUGGCGAAAAAAAGUUUUAACCUAAAUUUUGUGACUUUGAAAAUUGAAACAAAAAACUUUAUAACACAAAUAUAUGUUGUAUAUUUUCAUAUAAUGUUCAGCAUAAAAAUAAAUACUUAAAUUCUAAAGAGUUAUGAAAGUAUUCCGAAUUA
Ceratitis capitata (Mediterranean fruit fly) is the source of this 1026-nucleotide long non-coding RNA. RefSeq lists it as uncharacterized. The transcript has 2 exons. NCBI's taxonomy places the organism in Eukaryota, Metazoa, Arthropoda, Insecta, Diptera, Tephritidae. The record is from RefSeq and is a predicted model, not a curated record.